GACCCCAGUGAGUUCAGGCCUCGGCCUCGGCAGGUAGCAGGAGUGGUGGCGUCCUCGUCCUCAGCCUCGAGCAAGCAACUAGGUAUGCAUCUGGGCAUGCUGUGGGUAUUGAUUUGGGUAUCAAUAUGUGAUUUGGACAGAGCCGACUCGAAUUGAGCUUCUUUCUGUUUUGUGAUAUAAAUCGAGGCUUAGGAGACACUGGCAAUGUGAUCCUAUUAAGGUUGGCUGGACUUUUGGAUUUGUGUGAUUUUUUUUCUUUCCUUGUUUUCCCUUUUCUAAGUAACUAUAGAGCGUGCACGUGCAAGGCACGUUGAUACAUAGAAUGACAGCUCACUGAAAAUUCAGUUCAUCCUUAGACCAUUCUGUAAAGGAGAAGCUUAGCAAACCGUUUCUUCAGCUAUGAAAUGAUAAAUCAAAAUAAACAGAGUGAUGUAAGUUU
RNAcentral lists this small RNA (439 nucleotides) under Oryza sativa Japonica Group (Japanese rice). Its description in RNAcentral is "misc RNA Os03g0582900". The record is from RNAcentral. Lineage: Eukaryota; Viridiplantae; Streptophyta; Magnoliopsida; Poales; Poaceae.